Molecule: ribosomal RNA, 81 nt
Filed under: Elizabethkingia anophelis
Lineage: Bacteria; Pseudomonadati; Bacteroidota; Flavobacteriia; Flavobacteriales; Weeksellaceae
Source: RNAcentral
UAGGGUGGUUAUAGCGGUGGGGCUCACCUGUUCCCAUUCCGAACACAGAAGUUAAGCCCACCAGCGCCGAUGGUACUGCUA